This 74-nucleotide transfer RNA is filed under the name Sphingobacteriales bacterium. It matches the Rfam family "tRNA". From Rfam's summary of the family: Transfer RNA (tRNA) molecules are approximately 80 nucleotides in length. Their secondary structure includes four short double-helical elements and three loops (D, anti-codon, and T loops). Further hydrogen bonds mediate the characteristic L-shaped molecular structure. tRNAs have two regions of fundamental functional importance: the anti-codon, which is responsible for specific mRNA codon recognition, and the 3' end, to which the tRNAs corresponding amino acid is attached (by aminoacyl-tRNA synthetases). tRNAs cope with the degeneracy of the genetic code in two manners: having more than one tRNA (with a specific anti-codon) for a particular amino acid; and 'wobble' base-pairing, i.e. permitting non-standard base-pairing at the 3rd anti-codon position. The record is from Rfam by way of RNAcentral. Lineage: Bacteria; Pseudomonadati; Bacteroidota; Sphingobacteriia; Sphingobacteriales.
CGGGACGUAGCGCAGCCCGGUAGCGCACAUGCAUGGGGUGCAUGGGGUCGCAAGUUCGAAUCUUGUCGUCCCGA